GCCCUGCUGGCUCAGUCGGUAGAGUAUGUGACUCUUGAUCUCGGGGUUGUGAGUUCCAGCCCCACGUUGGGGG
RNAcentral lists this transfer RNA (73 nucleotides) under Felis catus (domestic cat). It matches the Rfam family "tRNA". Rfam says of the family: Transfer RNA (tRNA) molecules are approximately 80 nucleotides in length. Their secondary structure includes four short double-helical elements and three loops (D, anti-codon, and T loops). Further hydrogen bonds mediate the characteristic L-shaped molecular structure. tRNAs have two regions of fundamental functional importance: the anti-codon, which is responsible for specific mRNA codon recognition, and the 3' end, to which the tRNAs corresponding amino acid is attached (by aminoacyl-tRNA synthetases). tRNAs cope with the degeneracy of the genetic code in two manners: having more than one tRNA (with a specific anti-codon) for a particular amino acid; and 'wobble' base-pairing, i.e. permitting non-standard base-pairing at the 3rd anti-codon position. Lineage: Eukaryota; Metazoa; Chordata; Mammalia; Carnivora; Felidae. The record is from Rfam by way of RNAcentral. RNAcentral also lists the same sequence under 1 other name.